RNAcentral lists this long non-coding RNA (409 nucleotides) under Junco hyemalis (dark-eyed junco). RNAcentral describes it as "lncRNA (ENSJHYG00000009883.1)". Lineage: Eukaryota; Metazoa; Chordata; Aves; Passeriformes; Passerellidae. The record is from RNAcentral.
UCCUUGCCUUCUAAUUCUGGUUCUAUUUGUUUUACAAGAAUCUCUUUCUUCCCAGCUGUUAACUUAACAGGCCAUGAUGCUCCAGAGUGCGAAUAUCCGUCAAUUACGCAGCAUUAGUCAGCCCCUGAGCGAGCACGCUGCAGAUGAUGGAAGCAAACAGGGAAGAAUGAGGGACAGGGCUGCCUCCGUUCACAGGCAUUACUCUUUGGAGCAUGAAGCAGGUAUUCAAUUCCCUUCCUACGUGUUGUGGAGAAACUGUAAUCCUUUAAAGAUUACUGACAAACACAAUGAAAAAAAGAAGUUGAUAGACCAAAAUAUGAAGAACAAAAAACUGUGGAAACCCAGAAGACCCUGCCUUGAAGCAGUUGCAAUGGUGGUGUUUCAGUGUGAACAUGACUGUGAGGACUAA